Molecule: ribosomal RNA, 500 nt
Filed under: uncultured bacterium
Lineage: Bacteria
Description: partial 16S ribosomal RNA
Rfam family: Bacterial small subunit ribosomal RNA
Source: RNAcentral
AUUGAACGCUGGCGGCAUGCUUUACACAUGCAAGUCGAACGGUAACAGGGUGCUUGCACCGCUGACGAGUGGCGAACGGGUGAGUAAUGCGUCGGAACGUGCCGAGUAGUGGGGGAUAACGCAGCGAAAGUUGUGCUAAUACCGCAUACGUACUGAGGUAGAAAGCGGGGGACCUUCGGGCCUCACGCUAUUCGAGCGGCCGACGUCUGAUUAGCUAGUAGGUGAGGUAAAGGCUCACCUAGGCGACGAUCAGUAGCGGGUCUGAGAGGAUGAUCCGCCACACUGGGACUGAGACACGGCCCAGACUCCUACGGGAGGCAGUAGUGGGGAAUUUUGGACAAUGGGCGAAAGCCUGAUCCAGCCAUGCCGCGUGUCUGAAGAAGGCCUUCGGGUUGUAAAGGACUUUUGUCAGGGAGGAAAUCCCUAGUGCUAAUAACACUGGGGGAUGGCAGUACCUGAAGAAUAAGCACCGGCUAACUACGUGCCAGCAGCCGCAGUAA